UACGUAGGGACCAAGCGUUGUUCGGAUUUACUGGGCGUAAAGGGCGCGUAGGCGGCAAUUCAAGUCAUCUGUGAAAUCUCCGGGCUUAACUCGGAACGGUCAGAUGAUACUGCUUUGCUAGAGUGCGGAAGGGGCAAUCGGAAUUCUUGGUGUAGCGGUGAAAUGCGCAGAUAUCAGGAGGAACACCAAUUGCGAAGGCAGCUCGCUGGGACGUUACUGACGCUGAGACGCGAAAGCGUGGGGAGCAAACAGG
Molecule: ribosomal RNA, 253 nt
Filed under: uncultured bacterium
Lineage: Bacteria
Description: partial 16S ribosomal RNA
Rfam family: Bacterial small subunit ribosomal RNA
Source: RNAcentral